Molecule: ribosomal RNA, 544 nt
Filed under: Amalda sp. MNHN IM 2007-43655
Lineage: Eukaryota; Metazoa; Mollusca; Gastropoda; Neogastropoda; Olividae
Description: partial 16S ribosomal RNA
Rfam family: Bacterial large subunit ribosomal RNA
Source: RNAcentral
GCCUGUUUAUCAAAAACAUCGCUCCUCGCUCACCAAAAAUGAGGAGUCGGACCUGCCCGGUGAAAUUUUUUAACGGCCGCGGUACUCUGACCGUGCAAAGGUAGCAUAAUCAUUUGCCUUAUAAUUGAAGGCUAGUAUGAAUGGUUUGACGAGAAUAUUACUGUCUCUCUAUGAUUUCUGAGAAAUUUAUCUUCAGGUGAAGAAGCCUGAAUGACAUUAAAAGACAAGAAGACCCUAUCGAGCUUAAAAUAAAUUAGUAGACUCAUCUUAUAUAUUGAUAAAAAAUUAGCUACUAAAUAUUUUGGUUGGGGCGACUGAGGAACAGAAAAAGCUUCCUGUUAUUUAAAAAAUAUACAAAUAUUGAUCCAGAACUGUACUGAUUGACGAAAUUAGUUACCGUAGGGAUAACAGCAUUAUCUUUUUUGAGAGUUCUAAUCGAAAAAAAGGUUUGUGACCUCGAUGUUGGACCAGAAUAUCCCGAAGAUGUAGCAGUCUUCAAAGGUUGGUCUGUUCGACCAUUAAAAUUCUACGUGAUCUGAGUUCA